Molecule: ribosomal RNA, 253 nt
Filed under: uncultured bacterium
Lineage: Bacteria
Description: partial 16S ribosomal RNA
Rfam family: Bacterial small subunit ribosomal RNA
Source: RNAcentral
UACGAAGGGGGCUAGCGUUGUUCGGAAUUACUGGGCGUAAAGGGCGCGAAGGCGGUGUGUCAAGUCAGGCGUGAAAGCCCCGGGCUCAACCUGGGAACCGCGCUUGAGACUGGCACGCUCGAGUUCGGGAGAGGAUGGUGGAAUUCCCAGUGUAGAGGUGAAAUUCGUAGAUAUUGGGAAGAACACCGAUGGCGAAGGCAGCCAUCUGGACCGACACUGACGCUGAGGCGCGAAAGCGUGGGGAGCAAACAGG